UAGGGAAUCUUCGGCAAUGGGGGGAACCCUGACCGAGCAACGCCGCGUGAGUGAAGAAGGUUUUCGGAUCGUAAAGCUCUGUUGUUAAGGAAGAACGAGUGUGAGAAUGGAAAGUUCAUGCUGUGACGGUACUUAACCAGAAAGGGACGGCUAACUACGUGCCAGCAGCCGCGGUAAUACGUAGGUCCCGAGCGUUGUCCGGAUUUAUUGGGCGUAAAGCGAGCGCAGGCGGUUAGAAAAGUCUGAAGUGAAAGGCAGUGGCUCAACCAUUGUAGGCUUUGGAAACUGUUUAACUUGAGUGCAGAAGGGGAGAGUGGAAUUCCUAGUGUAGCAGUGAAAUGCGUAGAGAUUAGGAGGAACACCGGUGGAGAAAGCGGCUUUUUGGCCUGCAACUGACACUGAGGCGCGAAAGCGUGGGGAGCAAACAGG
RNAcentral lists this ribosomal RNA (429 nucleotides) under Verrucomicrobiota bacterium. Its description in RNAcentral is "Verrucomicrobia bacterium partial 16S ribosomal RNA". It matches the Rfam family "Bacterial small subunit ribosomal RNA", at positions 355 to 776 of the family's 1533-position model. The record is from RNAcentral. Lineage: Bacteria; Pseudomonadati; Verrucomicrobiota.